This 22-nucleotide non-coding RNA is filed under the name Arabidopsis thaliana (thale cress). The record is from RNAcentral. Lineage: Eukaryota; Viridiplantae; Streptophyta; Magnoliopsida; Brassicales; Brassicaceae.
UUGGACUGAAGGGAGCUCCCUC